AUUUUAUCAGCCCGUUUAGCCGAAACAGAAAAAACGAGGCGCCUCAACUUGAAAAUAAACCCUUGCCUGUCCCAUUUUUCAUAAGAGCUAGUUUAUCGAUCUCGCCCCCCAUCAUCGAUCUAGGUAUUUGUGAAAGGAAGAAGUUUAUUUCUCAAUGGCACCACUUAUAAACAGGUUUCCAUUCGUAGCUACUCAUUUGAAGAGAAUGAUAGCUAAGCUGAAUGCAAAUGAUGAGAAACACACCAUAAAAUCAUGGUCACGUGCAUCUAUGAUCAUACCCGAAAUGGUGGGCCAUCGUAUUGCUAUCCAUAACGGAAAAAGACAUCGUCCUAUUCAAAUUAAAGAUGCCAUGGUAGGCCACAAAUUAGGGGAGUUUGCACUUACACGUGCACGUAAACCACAAAAGCCACAAAAUGUGAAAAAACCUUUGAAAAAGGGUAAAUGAUCAAAAGAUUGAAUCAAGAUUUAUAGUUUUUAAGCUCUUGUUAGGUUGUCUUUUGCUUGUAGUUUACCAGCGUUUUCUGGAUCAUUUUGUUAUGGAAUUUUUCAUUAAUGUCUCACAUUCACAGUUGAUUUUUGUAAUAAAGCCUACAUUUGAACA
Molecule: long non-coding RNA, 601 nt
Organism: Lactuca sativa (garden lettuce)
Lineage: Eukaryota; Viridiplantae; Streptophyta; Magnoliopsida; Asterales; Asteraceae
Source: RefSeq, a predicted model, not a curated record